UNACAGAGCCAUGCANGUCUAGUACAUGCCGUAUUAAGGCGAAACCGCGAAUGGCUCAUUAAAUCAGUUAUGGUUCCUUGGAUCGUACAUAAUUACUUGGAUAACUGUGGUAAUUCUAGAGCUAAUACAUGCAGCAGAGCUCCGACCUUCGGGGACGAGCGCUUUUAUUAGACCAAAACCAAUCUGGCUCUGCCAGUCUCUCGUGGUGACUCUGAAUAACUUUGGGCUGAUCGCACGGGCCCGUCCCGGCGACGUAUCUUUCAAGUGUCUGCCUUAUCAACUUUCGAUGGUAGGUUACGCGCCUACCAUGGUCGUAACGGGUAACGGGGAAUCAGGGUUCGAUUCCGGAGAGGGAGCCUGAGAAACGGCUACCACAUCCAAGGAAGGCAGCAGGCGCGCAAAUUACCCACUCCCAGAACGGGGAGGUAGUGACGAAAAAUAACAAUACGGGACUCUUUUGAGACCCCGUAAUUGGAAUGAGUACACUCUAAACCCUUUAACGAGGAUCCAUUGGAGGGCAAGUCUGGUGCCAGCCGCCGCGGUAACUCCAGCUCCAAUAGCGUAUAUUAAAGUUGUUGCGGUUAAAAAGCUCGUAGUUGGAUCUCAGUUCCAGACGGGUGGUCCGCCUACCGGCGGUCACUGCCUGUUCUGAACAGCCAGCCGGUUUCUCUCGAUGAUCUUCACCGGUUGUCUUGGGUGACCGGCAAGUUUACUUUGAAAAAAUUAGAGUGCUCAAAGCAGGCGCGACGCCUGAAUAAUGGUGCAUGGAAUAAUGGAAUAGGACCUCGGUUCUAUUUUGUUGGUUUUCGGAACGCGAGGUAAUGAUUAAGAGGGACAGACGGGGGCAUUCGUAUUGCGACGCUAGAGGUGAAAUUCUUGGACCGUCGCAGGACGAACUACUGCNAGAAUUUUUUUUU
Molecule: ribosomal RNA, 917 nt
Filed under: Attulus fasciger
Lineage: Eukaryota; Metazoa; Arthropoda; Arachnida; Araneae; Salticidae
Description: SSU rRNA
Rfam family: Eukaryotic small subunit ribosomal RNA
Source: RNAcentral